UACGGAGGGUGCUAGCGUUGUUCGGAAUCACUGGGCGUAAAGGGCGCGUAGGCGGCCUGUGCAAGUCAGUUGUGAAAUCUCCGGGCUUAACUCGGAACGGUCAACUGAUACUGCUCGGCUAGAGUGCGGAAGGGGCAACUGGAAUUCUUGGUGUAGCGGUGAAAUGCGUAGAUAUCAAGAGGAACACCUGCGGCGAAGGCGGGUUGCUGGGCCGACACUGACGCUGAAGUGCGAAAGCUAGGGGAGCGAACGGG
This 254-nucleotide ribosomal RNA is filed under the name uncultured prokaryote. RNAcentral's name for it is "partial 16S ribosomal RNA". It matches the Rfam family "Bacterial small subunit ribosomal RNA", at positions 524 to 776 of the family's 1533-position model. The record is from RNAcentral.